GAUGAACGCUGGCGGCGUGCCUAAUACAUGCAAGUCGAGCGAACAGACGAGGAGCUUGCUCCUCUGACGUUAGCGGCGGACGGGUGAGUAACACGUGGAUAACCUACCUAUAAGACUGGGAUAACUUCGGGAAACCGGAGCUAAUACCGGAUAAUAUAUUGAACCGCAUGGUUCAAUAGUGAAAGACGGUUUUGCUGUCACUUAUCGCUGGAUCCGCGCCGCAUUGGCUAGUUGGUACGGUAACGGCUUACCACGGCAACGCUGCGUAGCCGACCUGCGAGGGGGAUAGGCCACCCGGGAACGGGGACGCGGACAAGGGGACUACGGGAGGGAGCAGUAGGGAAUGUGACGCAGUGGGCGGAAGCCUGACGGAGCGGCGGCGCGUGAGUGGUGAAGGUGUUGGGAGCGGAAAACUGUGUUAUGAGGGAAGAACAAAUGUGGAAGUAACUAUGCACGUCGUGACGGUACCGAGUCAGAAAGCCACGGCUAACUACGUG
Molecule: ribosomal RNA, 497 nt
Filed under: uncultured bacterium
Lineage: Bacteria
Description: partial 16S ribosomal RNA
Rfam family: Bacterial small subunit ribosomal RNA
Source: RNAcentral